AGUGAACGCUGGCGGUAGGCCUAACACAUGCAAGUCGAACGGCAGCACAGUAAGAGCUUGCUCUUACGGGUGGCGAGUGGCGGACGGGUGAGGAAUACAUCGGAAUCUACUUUUUCGGGGGGGAUAACGUAGGGAAACUUACGCUAAUACCGCAUACGACCUACGGGUGAAAGCAGGGGAUCUUCGGACCUUGCGCGAUUGAAUGAGCCGAUGUCGGAUUCGCUAGUUGGCGGGGUAAAGGCGCACCUAGGCGACGAUCCGGAGCGGCUAUGAGAGGAUGAUCCGCCACACUGGAACUGAGACUCGGUCCCGACUCCUACGGGAGGACGCAGUGGGGAAUAUUGGACAAUGGGCGCAAGCCUGAUCCAGCCAUACCGCGUGGGUGAAGAAGGCCUUCGGGUUGUAAAGCCCUUUUGUUGGGAAAGAAAAGCAGCAGGUUAAUACCCCGCUGUUCUGACGGUACCCAAAGAAUAAGCACCGGCUAACUUCGUG
RNAcentral lists this ribosomal RNA (492 nucleotides) under uncultured bacterium. Its description in RNAcentral is "partial 16S ribosomal RNA". It matches the Rfam family "Bacterial small subunit ribosomal RNA", at positions 29 to 507 of the family's 1533-position model. The record is from RNAcentral.